GAAGUUCGCCAGGCAGUCGCUGCGCACCAUGUCGUGCGUGGAGGAAAGUCCGGGCCCCGCAGAGCAGGAUGCCGGCUAACGGCCGGGCGCCGUGAGGCGACGGAAAGUGCAACAGAGAGCAGACCGCCGAUGGCCCGCGAAAGUGGGAUCAGGUAAGGGUGAAACGGUGAGGUAAGAGCUCACCGCAGGACUGGCGACAGGACUGGCACGGCAAACCCCAUCCGGGGCAAGGCCAAAUAGGGGAGCAUUGGCGUGGCUCGCGUCGCUCCCGGGUAGGCUGCUAGAGCUUCACGGCAACGUGUCGCCCAGAGGAAUGACUGCCCGAUGUCGCCGGCUUGCGCCGGAGGCGUUCGACAGAACCCGGCUUAUCGGCGAACUUCCCCA
Molecule: RNase P RNA, 384 nt
Filed under: Thauera sp.
Lineage: Bacteria; Pseudomonadati; Pseudomonadota; Betaproteobacteria; Rhodocyclales; Zoogloeaceae
Description: RNase P RNA component class A
Rfam family: Bacterial RNase P class A
About the family: Ribonuclease P (RNase P) is a ubiquitous endoribonuclease, found in archaea, bacteria and eukarya as well as chloroplasts and mitochondria. Its best characterised activity is the generation of mature 5'-ends of tRNAs by cleaving the 5'-leader elements of precursor-tRNAs. Cellular RNase Ps are ribonucleoproteins.
Source: RNAcentral